Molecule: long non-coding RNA, 1178 nt
Filed under: Homo sapiens (human)
Lineage: Eukaryota; Metazoa; Chordata; Mammalia; Primates; Hominidae
Description: HSALNT0377576
Source: RNAcentral
GAAGCAUACACAUAGACCCAAAGCCUGAAGAGAUUUUAAGAGAACUAUAAAACCCAAAACCCAGUAAUUAUUCAACCUCUAAGGCAAUUCUCGGGCCCCAUAACUUGCACCAGUAAGAAGUGGGAUACCAACACUGUUUUACACCCCCAAAAUGUGUUUUCCCCGUGCCCAUAUAAAUAUUGCCAUGGGAGACACAAACUAAGAAAAUCCUUCCAGGAACAAACCUGGGCAUUGAAAGGUAACCCAACCAUGGGGCUAACAGUCAUAACUCCAUCCUAUCCCCAAAACUUCUCCAGCCCUGUGGAGUCUCUCAGUUGGAACUGAGAUGAGACUAAGCUGCGCCUCCCAGUGCAUCCCUCAAGAUGGCUCCAGAAGGCUGUGGCUCAAGCCCGUCCUCCUUUAGGUUAAUGCCUACAAUAAGUGUUCUUGAAAUACAGUCACGCGUUGCUUAACCAUGGGGAUAUAUUCUGAUAAAUUCAUCAUUAGGCGAUUUCAUCACUGGGCGAACAUCACAGCUCGUACUCACACAAACCUAGAUGUCAUAGCCUACUACACACCUAGGCUAUAUGAUAUAGGCUAUUGCUAGCAACAAACCUGUACAGCAUGUUACUGUCUUGAAUACUUAGGCAGCAGAGCACAAUGUUAUAGAAACAGAUGAUCAGUGGCCCACGGAUUCCAGGUGAGGAUCUGGGACCCAGACAUCCAGAUAUUGAAAACACAGGGAUGGAGUCUGUAUGGAAAAAAUUAAAAUAUAGCAAAAUGUGAAAUACGGAAGAGAAAUCUUUCAAUUUCCCAAUGGAAGUGAGAAAAGAGCAAAGAAAAGUAUUGGUCUUCCAAAACAAAUAGAGGACGGAGCUGCUGCUGUUGCAUGGUGUCUAGAAACUCAGACAACUUCAUCAUUCCAUAUUUGCAUCCAAGAGAGAGAAAGAAAAACUACAAUCAUUUUCCAUUUACCCAUCAACCCAUCAACCUCCAAAUAAAGGCUAUUAAAAAACAAUCAAAGUGUGAAGAGGGCAGAAAAUGUGAUGAAGAGAUUCUUUGGAGAAAGUAGCUGCCACUGUUACCUUGGGAUCUGCCUAUAGUCCUCACAGAGCUUGCCCUUGCAGGAUAGAACAUAGGAGUCUGGGAGUCUGCAAGAAGAGACAGGGUCUCACUAUGUUGCCCCAGUUGGCCUUGAA